RNAcentral lists this long non-coding RNA (1773 nucleotides) under Oryctolagus cuniculus (rabbit). RNAcentral describes it as "lncRNA (ENSOCUG00000032125.1)". The record is from RNAcentral. Lineage: Eukaryota; Metazoa; Chordata; Mammalia; Lagomorpha; Leporidae.
AUGCUCCUUUGUACGUCGUGGCAGGGUCUUAAAUCCACCAGCAAAACAAAUGCCUCACGACAGAUGACUGAUAGGUGCUCCCCUGACAGCCGGGAUCUCUGCCUCCCGCACCCCGAUCUGGGCUUCAGAGGUGGCAGGAGGCCAGCAGCAUCUGCCUGCCAGCUCCCUCCCCGCUGCACCCCAGCGCCACGGCAUCCCACUGACCUUCGCUUAUCUACACACACAGAAGGAGCCGCGCGGACCCGUUCCACCAAGCAGCCACUUCAGGGAAAUUCGUUUCCUUUUACUGCACAUAAAAAUAAAUUGCUCCCCACAAAGGAGGGACAAAAAGGACAAGCCUCUCCCUCUAAUAGGAUCGCCGGGACAGGGGUGUUUUCUCUGCACAGUCAUCACCGGGGGAGCCUGCUGUCAAUUUCGUAUCACCAAGCACCACCACGGCAGGCUGGCAGGCGGCGCCCGCCUUUCCUCCUGCCCUGUCCUGUUUUCCUGAUAGGGUAGGGGUCACGUGUUUCUAACGUGGAUGGACAUCUUCUCCUCCCUUGGCCCUAACAUUUUCCCGUCUAGGACAGAAGUUGAGGGGAGGUGUGGGAGCAUCUUUAGAUGAGGGGCAGUGUGAUGCUCAGGCAAAAUUAUGUAUACAUGCAUGUUCUCUGUCACAGGAACACACACACACACGGGACAUACAUGCAUGGGCAUUGACACAGGAACAUGCAUACACACAUGGGACAUACAUGCAUGGACAUUGACACAGGAACACACACACGGGACAUACAUGCAUGGACAUUGACACAGGAACACACACACACGGGGACAUACAUGCAUGCACAUUGACACAGGAACAUGCAUACGCACACGGGACAUACAUGCAUGGGCAUUUGACACGGGUACAUGCAUACACACGUGGACGUGCAUGCAUGCACAUUGACACAGGAACACACAUACACACGGGACAUACAUGCAUGGGCAUUGACACAGGAACAUGCAUAAACAACAGGACAUACAUGCAUGGGCAUUGACACAGGAACACACAUGCACACACAGGACAUGCAUGCAUGCACAUUGACACAGGAACACACACACGGGACAUCCAUGAAUGCACAUUGGCACAGCCGGGGUGCUCUGGGUACCAAGAGCAGGCACUAUCCGCUCUUCCAGGUGAGGUGGACUGCCCCGCAGGACCCUGUGGCUUUUGCUGUGUGGGAGGGUCUGGGAGAAGGAGGUCGUGUCUUUCUGGUGGAGAGGCUGCUGCAAGCAGAACCUUGGAAGCCACAAGUAGGUCAAAACUCUCUAUCUUGAGGCAAAAUAUAUUUUUAUGUAAGUUUUUGAAAGUAAAGAUUGAGCCAAUGUUGCUAAGUAUAACUUCUGAAAAUACUACUGGCAUGCAACUGUUCAGUGUAUUCUCUCCUGGUAUUUAAGAUCUCUGCUGUGUGAGGUUACGUCCCCUCUGCGCUCACUCUGUGUGUGUGUGUGUGUGUGUGCGCAUACACCUGUGUGCUUCUCUCAGCUUUGCUACUUUUUGCCCACCGUCUAUCCAAGGAGCUUUGGUUUCUAAGUAGAGACCCCGUUUGAAGAGCUAAGGGUCACCUCUGCUGCUGAGUUGUUCAUAGUAUUCUCUGCUUUUUCAGUGAACUGAGCUAGAAAUUUCUUUUAAUAUAAAAUGCUUGGGGAUAGGUAGGUGGGUAUAGUGGGAAGAAUCACUAUAUUCUUAAGUUGUACUUAUGAAAAUUGUACUCAUUUAAUAAAAGUUUUGUUUGGGGGAAAAAAGAUAAAACU